GACGAACGCUGGCGGCGUGCUUAACACAUGCAAGUCGAGCGGUAAGGCCCUUUCGGGGGUACACGAGCGGCGAACGGGUGAGUAACACGUGGGUGACCUGCCCUUAGCUCUGGGAUAAGCCUGGGAAACUGGGUCUAAUACCGGAUAUGACUCCAUAACGCAUGUUGUGGGGUGGAAAGCCUUGUGCGGCUAGGGAUGGGCCCGCGGCCUAUCAGCUUGUUGGUGGGGUGAUGGCCUACCAAGGCGACGACGGGUAGCCGGCCUGAGAGGGCGACCGGCCACACUGGGACUGAGACACGGCCCAGACUCCUACGGGAGGCAGCAGUGGGGAAUCUUGCGCAAUGGGCGAAAGCCUGACGCAGCGACGCCGCGUGGGGAUGAC
This 382-nucleotide ribosomal RNA is filed under the name uncultured bacterium. RNAcentral describes it as "bacterial SSU rRNA". It matches the Rfam family "Bacterial small subunit ribosomal RNA", at positions 28 to 412 of the family's 1533-position model. The record is from RNAcentral.